RNAcentral lists this ribosomal RNA (503 nucleotides) under uncultured bacterium. Its description in RNAcentral is "bacterial SSU rRNA". It matches the Rfam family "Bacterial small subunit ribosomal RNA", at positions 29 to 514 of the family's 1533-position model. The record is from RNAcentral.
AACGAACGCUGGCGGCGCGCCUAAUACAUGCAAGUCGAGCGAGAAGGUGUAGCAAUACACUUGUAAAGCGGCGAACGGGUGAGGAAUGCAUGGGUAACCUACCCUCGAGUGGGGAAUAACUAGCCGAAAGGUUAGCUAAUACCGCAUACGUUUCCGGAACUUCGGUUUCGGAAAGAAAGCAAUACCGUGGGUAUUGCGCUCCUGGAUGGGCUCAUGUCCUAUCAGCUUGUUGGUGAGGUAACGGCUCACCAAGGCUUCGACGGGUAGCUGGUCUGAGAGGACGAUCAGCCACACUGGCACUGCGACACGGGCCAGACUCCUACGGGAGGCAGCAGUAAGGAAUAUUGCGCAAUGGACGAAAGUCUGACGCAGCGACGCCGCGUGGGGGAUGAAGGUCUUCGGAUUGUAAAGCUCUUUUGUCAGGGAAGAAACGGUGAGUUCUAAUAAAGCUUGCUAAUGACGGUACCUGAAGAAUAAGCACCGGCUAACUAACGUGCCAGCAG